RNAcentral lists this ribosomal RNA (322 nucleotides) under uncultured eukaryote. Its description in RNAcentral is "partial 18S ribosomal RNA". It matches the Rfam family "Eukaryotic small subunit ribosomal RNA", at positions 1470 to 1796 of the family's 1831-position model. The record is from RNAcentral.
CCCUUAGAUGUUCUGGGCCGCACGCGUGCUACACUGAGUGGAUCAGCGGGUCAGGUUGCGCGAAAGCGUUUCCUAAUCUUGAAAUCUGCUCGUGAUGGGGAUUGACGGUUGCAAUUUUCUGUCAUGAACGAGGAAUACCUUGUAAGCGCGAGUCAUCAUCCCGCGCUGAAUACGUCCCUGCCCUUUGUACACACCGCCCGUCGCUCCUACCGAUUGAGUGGUCCGGUGAGGCUUUGGGAUCUGAGCGGAAAGAGCGUUUCGCUCGUUCUGCCCGGAAAACUCAGUCGAACCUUAUCAUUUAGAGGAAGGAGAAGUCGUAACA